UCUCAGUGGCGUGCACUUGGAGAGGCCUAUGUCCAGCAGUGGACUGCGAUAGGCAGAUGAUGAUGAUGAUAUUUUAUUGUAUUUGUUUAACUACUUGAUGAAGCGUAUAUUUUAUUUAAUUAAACGUUUUGAUCAAUAUGUGUGCACUAACAUUUACAUAGUAUUUGGGUGUUCGUAUACUAAUAACAGUAAUAACGGAAUUUUAAUUGAAUGAACCGCAGCUAUAACCCCUCGACUGUUGAACGGACUCCAGGAGCUCUCUGUCAAAAAACGGUCAUACUGUUGAACGGACUCCAGGAGCUCUCUGUCAAAAAACGGUCAUCUGCCGCCACAGCCGAGAGGAUAAAAUACCAAAAUCCUUUUAGUAACAAGAUUGUAUUUUCUCCGGUUAUUGUUAAAGUCUCUGAUAGCCUAUCCGAAACUUGUCUGACAGAUAAACUCUAGCUUCCGGUUUCACAUGUACCAACAGCAUUAUUUAGCGGAAAUUCUAAGCAGCUUUGAUCUGGCACAUAGCAUUAACUUGACACUUUGUCGGUAACCAGUGAAACCUGGCCCUAGUCUGAUGUAAAUUCAGUGCGCAUGGUAAUUACACAUUGUAGUAAAUUGUAAUUUAAUAAUCAGUUACCAAUUAAAAUUAGUGAUAAGUUACCAAAUAUUCUUCGGAUCUUCCUGAAACUAUGGAUAUGAUAAAAAAGCUUCUAAAAAUGUGAUGAAGCCUUGUCAACGUAACUGACAAAAUAAAAUGUAAGUUGCAUAGGAUAGGUACGUUGUACAAUAAGUGUAUUGUUUUGCAAGAUUAAAAUAAUCAUUGAUCAUUUCAGUGCUUUUCACCCAAAGGUUGGGCACCAUAUGAUUUUUUCUCCAUUAAAGUCAUUUAGUGAUCUGUAACUAACGUAGUUGAGACAUUUUGCAUAAUCAAAUAUUUGUGUUGCUUUGUUUAACUUAAGUACUUACAGCAAAGAACAAAAUUAUGACUUAUUAAGUUUUGAGGCUGGGUUUUAUUAAUAGUGACUAUAAUGCAUUUAUAUCUACAUAGUAAACACUACAUCAAACUCGCAGUUUUAAAAGUUGAUCUACUACAUAUUGGUUGUAAUAAAUGUACCUACCAUUAAUAA
This is a long non-coding RNA of Helicoverpa zea (corn earworm), 1115 nucleotides long. RefSeq lists it as uncharacterized. The transcript is spliced from 2 exons. NCBI's taxonomy places the organism in Eukaryota, Metazoa, Arthropoda, Insecta, Lepidoptera, Noctuidae. The record is from RefSeq and is a predicted model, not a curated record.